RNAcentral lists this long non-coding RNA (22515 nucleotides) under Ananas comosus (pineapple). Its description in RNAcentral is "long non-coding RNA (ACOM_LNC004464)". Lineage: Eukaryota; Viridiplantae; Streptophyta; Magnoliopsida; Poales; Bromeliaceae. The record is from RNAcentral.
AAAUGGAGAUAUUUGUAAUUUAUGGAAGAUUUUAUGUAUUAUGUAAGAUGCUGUUUUUUUCUUUUUUGAGAAAAAUAAAAAAUUGAUGUUGUCUUAUGACAACAAAUGCCAUGUUUUUAUAUAUAUGUUUUUACCUUCCUAUAAAAUUACAGUUAAGAUCAUCUGUGAGCUUUGCAACAUAUGGCAACCAUGCUCGUGAGCCUUUGCAUCAUAUAGCUAAGCAUUUAUGAGCCCUUCCUUUAUCAAGAAAUUACGUGUCAGAUGGACACCGUCCGCAGCUUCUCAUAUCGAAAAUGAUCACUCCAUCGAUUUUUUUUAUCUGAUACUAUUACUGAUCACUCCAUCAAUUUUUUUUGUCUGCUAGUCUCAUAACAAAUGUCCUAUUAAGCUUCAUUAGUUUUCAUCACUGAGUUGCAAGUGGUAUAAAAGGGUUGCAACUACGCAUGCUAUUCUCAUCUCAAAUUUGAUCUGUUUAGUUACUGUUAUACAGCCACCAGAUGUCAUGUGGUGGUACCUAUGCAAAGAUAGCAGAGCCGCCUGGGUACAAGGACAAAACAAAAGCUUCAAAAGGUGAGAAUUUACUAUUUAAUUGACAGAUUUGAUACUCUGGAUGUCUUCUUGCUGUACUUCUUAUCAUUGUGUCUACUUCGAAACUUUUAGAUUAAUAUGCUGGUGAUAUUCUUUGCAAUGUUGUUGAGUUGUCUUGCAUGAUGAUUUUGUUUUCGUUGGUUGGUUUUAAUUGCACUAGUGAACAUGAUCCUACAUUAGUGCUCUAAAAGAUGCUGGGGGCUACUAUCUGGCUUGAACUGGAAUCAUUAAGUUCUUUGGAUAUUAGCAAGUUGCACAGUAAUUUUUAGAACUGAGUAGCAAAUUAUUGUCAGGACUACCAGAGUAGCUAACUCUUCUCUUUUCUUGAAACAUUUUCUCACAACUCAUGCACUUACCAAUCAGGUGUGCAAAAGACUCUUGACAUCAAGCCCGAAAAGCCCAAUGUAGCUAUACUGAAUAAUCAAGGAUCACAUAAAUCAGGUGUGCAAAAGAAUCUUGAGAUCAGGCUGGAAAAGCCCAAUGUAGCUAUACCGAGUAAUCAAGUAUCACAUAAAUCAGGUGUGCAGAAGAAUCUUGAGAUCAAGCCUGAAAAGCCCAAUGUGGUUAUACCAAGUAAUCAAGGAUCACAUAAAUCAGGUGUGCAAAAGGAUCUUGAGAUUAAGCCUGGAAAGCCCAGUGUAGUUAUACUGAGUAAUCAAGGAUCACAUAAAUCAGAAGGAAUGACCGAUAACUGUGAUACUAGGAUGCCACACGUGAUAACACAUUUCUUCCAUACUACUUGUGAUAAAAAAAGGACUAUGCACAGCAGUUCCCUAGAGUUCGAAAAACCAAAGAUCGUCGAGUCAAAGAUAAAAGAGACUUUUGUGGUUCCAGGAAAACAGAAGAAUGCAAAUUCACUGGAAUCAAAGAAACGAAAAUGCAAUAAUACAAUCAGGCAGCAAUUUGGUAAAGGUAAGAAAGAGUUCAUGGUGGCUAGUGCAUGGCUGGGUUAUUAUGCGGAUGAAGAAAGCGACGAAGAUAUAGAGCCUUUGAUCAACAAGAGAACGGAGAGAAGGAAAAGGCAAAAGAUACUGAAGAAGACAAUGGCUGCAACCCGAGAAAACAUAGCCUUUGCAACUCUCCCUCUUGAUCCAAGUAGGUCCCAGAAAGGCAGUGCCAAAGACUUCUCGUUGGUGCCUCAUGAAAAUUGUGAUGGUGGAGCUCAGAUUGUCAAUGUCGAGAAUGUUUCUGCAAUUGAUUCAGAUGAAAUUCUUGACGCUGAACCUCUUGAUCAUUCUGCACCUCUCCCGUUACCUGGUUUGCCUUACGCAUCGCCCUCGAAAUCACCAGCUCAAGACAUUGUGAUAUACAUCUCAGACGAUUCAGAUUAGCUCGUUUGUCUGAUAUGGAGCCUGGCGGAUUUGUCAGUUCUAUGCAAUGGGGUGGAUUCGGAUAUGAUUCUCUGCGAGCAUUUUUGGCAAAGCAGCACAUUUUGAUUUAUCUCAGAUGACUGACAGCUCUUUUUUUCUUUUUCUUUUUCUUUUUUCUUUUUCUUUUUUUUUUUCUCUUUUCCUUUAUGGGGCAUGGUAAGACUUUGUUUUCAGCUCUAGCGCUAACUUAAUUAGGAGAUCAUACUGACAGUGUAGAGUCAAAUAUAGGCAGAUAUCUAUAUACACAAGGAUGACAUGAACGUGCGUACAUACCGCGUGUAAAUAUUUUGCUGAACAUUCUGUACUUAUUUGUGCAAGGUCCAUAUACAGUUACUUAUUUAACCUACAAGGUUGUACAGAUUUCGUAAUCUGCUGUUCUUUUAGCUGCUUUUAAUCGGUAUGAGAAACAUGCAAUACAUUCUUCAAACCGGUGGGAAUCUCGUGUAAUGGAACACAGUAUACUCCGGACGAGCUACCAUCACCUAUGCGCAAACUAGCAUCAUAUUAUCCAAUAUCUGUUUAUCCAUGACCGGAAUUAUCCAAUAUCUGUUUAUCCAUGACCGGAAUAUCUUAACUAGGCAAUUAGAUUACAGUAAGCUUCUUUCUGUACCUCGGACUCAAAAAGUUCGUGAAGAUGAGACACAUAGCAUGGCAUGUUAAAAUCUCCUGCGCUCGUACAGAUACAGGUAUUCAGAAAUGAUGCUACUAGAAAAACAUAGGUGACUCCAGAAGUUUCAAGUGUUUUUGUUUUUUCAUACAUUUCCGAUAAAUUGUAGCAUGGGAAUGGGAAAAUAGAGAAAUUAGAACACGAAAUUAAGCCAGACUACACUGUGACCCAAAAACCCCUGAUUUAAAAAGUAAAACAAUCCAUAACGCAGCUUUGUACACAAUUGUGAUCUUGACCAGAAUAGAAGAAUGAUAAGAGAAGGGGGGAACAUAAAACAUAGGUGUGUUCCCACUUCAAACUAAGUAUUGACAGUACAGAAUGCUAGGCGAUGGAUAGGCACGCACUUUAAAACUCAUUGUUCUUCGAACUCGUGCAUGUGAUCCAGAAGAUAGUUUGCGGCCAACUCCUCAUUCCUGUUGCAGGCAAAGAACACCUCCAAAACCAGUUGACGGUCAAAGCCCAUUGCUUCAAGCUGCCUCAGACAUGUCAAUUAUAUUGGCAAAACGUAAAAUUUCAGACAACAAAAAAAAAAAAAAAAAAAAAAAAAAAAAAAAAGGAACUAAAAAAACACAGCAGCCACAUAUGAACUGACUCAGGAGUCUAAUUCCUACUUUUAUUCAACAUAGACAUUUUUGCAUCCUACUGUGAAUCUAUGUCUUUUGAAGUGCAAAAAUUGUCAACAAUAGCAACAAAAGGAAGGGAGACAUGAUCGACUUACACGCUCGAUGGCUUCUCGGUCCUGUGGAGUAACUUGUAGGGCUUGUGGUAUUUCACCUGCUAACCGACCUAGUAAAUCCCUAAUCGGCACAAAUAAACUAAAUUAGUAAGUGCCCAUCCUACUAGCUCAAAGAUGCUUGUUAAUUAUUUGUAUGAUAAACAUUUCUAACCCCUCUGCUCCCUCAGCAGGUUCAUUAAUCAGCCGCAGAAACUCAGCUUGAUUUUCCUGAAUCAGCCGCAAAAUCUGAGGAUUUUGUUUUCCGAGUUCUUGAAGCAUUGGCUACAGAUAGCGGGUACUAUAGUCAGUCGACAAAGAAUAAGGAACGCGAGUACUACAAUGUUCUAAAGCAUAAAAGUAGAGACCUGUAGGAUCUGAGGAUUAGCCUGCACUAGCGUCAGCAAGUUUCGGAACUGCAGAGGAAAAGAAAUUAAUUGAACUAUCAGUUUUGUAACUAGCAAUUGUUCUCACUCAUCAAAAUAAGUAACAUCAACUACCUGGGGACUAUUGCGUAUCAUAUCAAGGCUGCCUGCGGCAUUUGAUGGAAAACUUGGAAGACCCUGUUGGAAGUAAGUGAUGAUGAGUUGGGCGCAUGCACACAUGCACAGGCAACAUGCAUGUCCCAAAAAGGUACUACUACUACUACUAUGCUGUCGCAAAUGCUAUACAACCUGAGGAAAGAGGUCCAGCGGAUUGGCAUUGGGCCCACUGGAAGGAACUGCGGGUUGAGGUUGUUGCGAAGCUUGAACUGAGGGAUUAGCUGGUUGGCCACUUGCAGGCGCUCUAGCAGCAGGAGGUGCUUCAACAUUCUCAGGAAUACCCUGAUAAAACAAGCCAAAAGAAUAACUUAAUUGUAUCAAGAAACUAAUGGACACCAAAAAGCAUUAGCUAAACUGAAAAUCAGGAUGUAGAAAGAAAAUUGAUCUGCGGAAAGUCAUUUUAUAUUCUUGCAAAUUCUUUCCGAGUAAAUACUGGACAGGAUUCAUGCAGGAUAAAAUAAUAUUCUCAACAUUGAAAAAAAAAACAACUUGCAGAGUGCGGAGAAUCAAAAACACUUGUUCUUUAAAAAAAAAAUUUAUUACAUCCAGCUGAAUGAGGCAUCCUACCAACUACAAAAAAAAGAUACUAUGGUAGCAGAGAGAUAAAACAGCAGUUCAAGAAGUCGAAUGUUACAGGAAAAAUCCAACUUCGCCACUCAAACUUAAAAUAAGAACUUGCGUCCUAAACAUGAAGUCAUAUUGUUAGCUUAAGGCAUGCUAAAGCUAUAUGAAAAAAUUCAUCCACUCCGAAAGGAGGAAUUAAUGCAAAAGCAAAUAGUAUCUUACAGAAUAUAGAUAUUCAACAGCUCUCUCAGGGUUGUUGUAUGCCGCACGAAGAGCACGAACAACAGUGUCUCUGUCCCAUGUCCCCCCACCCAUGUCAAGAAUUUGUUGGAUAGUUUGUUCCAACUUGCCGCCUGCAAUGAGAUUUGAAGCGGCUUGACCAUAUGCAUCAACUUCAGUGCUGUCCAAAGGUAAAGAAUAUAGCAUGGUUUUAAUAAGAGAUUCAAGAUAUCAAAUUGGAUCAAGACUAAACGGAUCAGUGAAGUUAUCAGGCACAAAAGAAGGCAACGAUAUACGUUUAAGUAAAUUCAUAUUUAAAAUGCCAACUACCAAACUAGUAUUGCAGCAUGACAUCAAGAUUACUGCAAAUAACAUAAUGAACCUGGACAAAAGAAGAGAAUGUGAUUCAUUUUUCCUUUUAAGAAAGACUUCAACUAGUUCAAUUAUUAAACUGAUAAUAAAUGGAAUCUGAAAAGUAAACCACGUUGUUUUGUUUAAAUGUUCGCUACUAUCUCUAUGGGGGUGUUUGGUUCCCUGGAAAAUAUAUGCCAAGAAACAGUUUUGUAGCUGGAAAAUACUUUUUCUUCUGCUUGGUUCCCUGGGAAUCUUUUUCCCAGAUUUCAUAGAAAACUAGUGUUUUCACUUUCCAGUUUUUUUCAUCCUGAAAACGAAUACUCUGGAAAAUGGCGUUUUCCAUGGAAAACUUUUUACUGGAAAACAGUUUUUGAGAGUUUCCAAGGAACCAAACACCCCCUAUAAGUGCCUGCAAGAAUUUAAUGUCCUUCAUGCGUUCCUACAACAAAUUGGUCUGCUAUGCCAAUUUGGUAGCUCAUAACCAAAGUAGCACUGGUACUGCAGUCACUAAAGUAGCCUAUAAGAUUCAAUUCACCCUUGUAUAAUGGCAUGAAAAUCAAUCCAUAAAACAUCUUAUGUAGCAACAUGCUUCCUGUCCAACAAAUUCCUUGUGUUACAAAUCCAACUUAUUACUGAUGCCACUGGCGCCCACGAAAAGGCAUUUUUACAUUGGAAAAGUUAACAAUAUUUCAAUUCAUUCAGGCUUCCAACUGCUUCUUUGGCCUCACUGGAUCUUUGGCAAAGAAUAUAGUACCAGUAAAGCUGUUUAAAAAGCCCUGAGCCCUAACAGCCGUCUUCUCUUAAAAAUUUUUGCCAACUCAAGCAGAAGCAGAAAUUUCCACACAUGUUCUGUUUUUGAUCAAAAAGCCUAAUUCAGCAUCAGUUCUAGCCAGAAUGUUAAGGCUUACUCAUUGCCCAAGAGCUGGCUACUGCUUCUCAAGUACACAGCUUUCCGAGAAGCUAGGCCAAACUGACACUGAAUCUCAGUAACAAGGUUAUCCAUUUUACAGAUUACUCCAAACAUGAUUGAUAACAUUCACUAGGUAAUUAACAUGGUCCAGUUUAUUAGACUGCUGAGAUGAAACAAAUACGAAAGCAAGAUAAUUUCGUGGUCAGAAGUAAUACAUAUCUGUUACAGGAUGAACUUACGAUACACUGACAGCAGGAGCAGGGGCAGCUGUGGCAGUUGGAGUAGGUGCACUUGCAGGUGGCCUGCUUCACAUGAAACACAAAGGACAAAACUAACAGAGAGUGAAAUUUAUCUCAGGGCAUACAUGAUAGACAAAAACUCACGGUUGCAAAGUUGCUGCCGGUGCUUGAGUUGUUGCUGAUGCCGUUGUUGAAGGGACAGGAGGUACCGUACUAGUAGGGGGCGGCUAAAGCCAAGAGAAAAGAAAAUCAUUUGCAUAGGCCCAAAUAGAUAUAUCAAUGCUGAUACUGUUGCAUUUACAUAUUUCUUCACUAGUUUUCUUUUCCUAUCAAACUGGUUUGCAUUUGUUAGGGCAUACCAUUUCUCAUAUCCCUACUAGCUUUUGCAAUUUACCACAAUGGCUUUACCUAAAUCUAACAAAAUAACGGCACAAAAAGUUGCAAUUACCACAACUAUCAAAUAUUAUCUGAAAACAAAUCAUGGUCAGCUUUAAGUACUCAUGCAACAAUGAUUUCCCAGGAGCUCAUCCAGUGAUAUCAACUAACCUUGACUAGAUGAAAUCUAAUCAAGCAUCAAGGAUAUUUUUCAAGAUAAAUCAGAAGUACCAUAUAAAAUGCUAUAAUUAGAUUUUUUAUUUUUUUGGCUAAUUAGAUUACUAUAAUGCAACAUGACAAAGGAAUAAUUUAACCAGAACAGUCUAACAAUCUAGAUUUUCGAAACUCAAGUUCAAACAAGUACCAUGAAAAAAAUAUUGUACCAAACUAACAGUAAACAUAUAACAACUGUGUACUAAAUAUUGUUAGUUUGACAAACCUUGAGAUAAAUUUAAAAGAAAAAAUUGAAGAACUUGAAGAUGGUUGACACACAAUUAAGGAAAUCAACAAUCAACGUUUAGUUUGAUAACUCGCAUAUCUCAAGAUAUUUAUGAGCAAUUUACGCUAAACACAACCACAAGACAAUCUCCAUAACCUAUAAAAGGAGUGUAUGGGUUCUUAACUAUAAAGAAAGCAUAUUCUUAUAUUAAACAUCCAAAUAUAGGUUGUAGUUCAUGUACGGAGAUACACUAAUAAAUUAAUUUCCUUUAGUGAAGAGAAAGGAAGGAAUGCAUCAACUUGAGUCACACAAAGAGAAACUUGAUUAACAGUGUGCUAUUAAAAAAAUUGAAGAAUGAUAGGAGACAUUUUGUUCCAACAUGUCUCUGCUAAAGAACAGACCCAGAUAGGAUGUGCUAAGAUAUGUCUUAAAUAAAUAUAACAAAAUGAUUGCUUUCCAGUCAAUAUGAUACAAAUUUAUGGCACCUAAAAAAGAGUUACAGUUCACUUUGGUUGCCAUUUUACCUCAUUAGCGGGCACAGUUGGUGCAGCCCCAGUGGAUAAGCUCUUCCUCUGCAAUGUAGUUGUUUUUAUCACAUUAAUAGAAUCAAAAUGAUAAUUCUUUUGAGUGGUCUUCUUUACCUGAGUUGAAGGUGCAGUGGACACGGAUGAAGCUCCGCUCGAUGUGCCCUUACCCUGCAAAAUAGUUAUGCAUAUCUAGUUAAAUAUGCUAAGAGCACCUAUCAAAAGCAUGACUGUCUCUGAUAAAGUUAUAUAGAGCAAUCUCUAAACCCAUCUUAAAACAUUUUGGAAUGGCUAGGAAAAUAGUUAGCCAGAUUUAAAAAGCUUCACUUAGAUAAGCCACUCCGCAGCGUGCUAGCAAUAGAAACACUGAAUAAAACAUAGGCUUCAUAUCUAGCUCUAGAUCUGGACUACUUAGAUAGGUUGUGUAGAGCUUCCAUCUUUCCCAGCGUACAUAAUAUUUCAGUUCAGUAAAUUCUCAUAUCUAUAUUUUCAUGCAAAUAGUUAUGUAAAGCAACAAAUAUACUACCAGGUUCAAGUUUUGUCAUUGAGAGGUAGACAUGCUUAAUAUAUAGUAUAUUAUCCAGUAAGCACUAAGUGGCAUGGAUUCUUCAUUAUCAUGAAUGAACUAUCUUGGCAGGGCAUGGUGAACUAAAUAAUCCAGAAUACCAAAUUAGUACUAAAGACAUAAAUCAUACCAAAAAUUUGCUAUUGUGAAUAAUAAAGUGUACCUUUGACAACAUUAUAACGAUAAAACUAUUUUCAGAAAUUUUAUUAUCAUCCAAUGUGGUAUCAUCCUUUAGAACUUUCCCUUGAUGUAUGAGCAUUUGCUGAUCGGCUGGGUACACAUUCUGGCCUUGAUUAGUCUCAAUAAUCAUUUUCACAUCGGCAACCUGCUCGAAGAAUAUUCAUGUUUAAGUUAAUGUCACUCCUACAUCAUUGUAAUACUGACAAUUAGCAACAUUACAAAGACAAUUAAUUAUCAAAAAAGGGACUCUAAACCCUAAGCCCUAAACAAACUAAACGAAUACCUCAUUCCCUGGAAAAGCAAUCCAUAAGGAAAUACGAUUUAGGGACAAUGCUAGCAAAUUGACAUUGUAUCAACAUUCAAAAAAGGGAACCAAAUUUCUACAAUAAUGGCCAAACCAAGAAUUCAAACACCAAGAAGAAGGAAGAGGCUCGCUCUCAUUCCCCAAGUUAAGCAAUGAAAGAUAGUCCAGCCAUAAAAAGGACCCAAAUUUCUCGAACUACAGUGCUCGUUCUAGGGCCCUAACUUAGAAAAUCAAAAUUUCUGCAAAUAAUCCACCUUGCGGAAAUAAAUGAUUUAUUUCCGAAAAUGUUGAAAAGAUAUCCUUCAACCUAAACUCAAUUACAACCCCUAGAUUGCUAAUCCGUUGUGCCAUGCAACUUCGUAUUCCUCGCAUUGAAUUCUACAUGAUAUUCUGACUCUAAGAACUACAUUAUCAAGCAGAUUUUACCCUAGAUUCCUCAAGAUUGGCACCCAAAAAGCCCUAAAACUUCAAAUUUGUCCCAUUGAAUUCCACAUAAUAAUCUGGCUCCAAAAACCACGCCAUUAAGCAGAUUUUAACCUAAAUUCCUCAACACUGGAUCCAAUAAAAUCGAAACCAAAUAACUAUCGGGAAUCAACGAAAGAAAUGAUCAGAGAAUCGAACGAAACCGAGAAAAAACUCUUGCAGAAAAGCGAACAAAAUCGAAGCGCAAGGGGAAUGACUACCGUGUCUUUGGGCUUCACUUCGAUCUCGAAGUUCGAACCCUUCAGCGUCUUCACGAAGAUCUUCAUGGCGCUCUCUCUCUCUCUCUCUCUCUCUCUCCCCCCUUCCCCCUUCUCUUCGCUUUCUCUCUCUCUCUCCCUCUCUCUCCGAGGGGGUGAAGAGAAAAUGGAUUUUUUUUUAAAAAAAAUAAUAAUUAGUGUAUGUUUCACUCGCCAAGUUGGAUGGAAUGCAAAUCGAGUGAUCCUGUAUUAACAUACCGACCAGCGUACAGAAUCAUUAACCAAUGAAAAAUUGCCACGUCAAUCAAUUAAUGAUACCCCACUUUAAAUUAGACUGGGCCCCCAUAACUUAGACCGGCCCUAAGUAGAAGAGUUGGGUUCGGAUUCAGGUUUAAUUUGGGCCCAAAUAUGGCCCAAAAAAGUCACAUCCAUAGCCACAUUAUCAUUUACGUGAUACAAAUUUAACCGUUUUGCAUAAAUUUAUAUCUUUUUUUUUUUUUAACAUAUCAGAGAUUCAUGCACAUUUAAUUUAAUAUAUGCAAAAUAGUCUCAUCAUUAAAUUUAUUACAUUGGACAUAAAGUAUAAGCUGGAAAUGGACAUAUGUGUUAUAUCUCCUGCAACAUGUCUCUUCUCGUUUUGAAUUUUUCUAAUUCUCAAAAAGAUACAUAUUUUUGGAUUUUUCUUAAUAAUAACUCUCUUUCAUUAAACUUACUUACAGGGAACCUCUAGCCUGUCCCGUGGCUCCACGGUCGGGCUCUGCCACAAGCAAACUUUCAAAAUUACUAUGGAAGCUGAAUGAAGCGGAUAGCGUGCUAUCUUUUUCUCAAAAAAAAAAACUAUAAAAAUAAAAAAUAAAUUCAAAAAAAAAGCUAUAUGAGUUUUUUAUUUAGAAAUUAAAAUAUUUAAUUUUAUCAUCGAUUAUUCAUUCAGUCGAUGCAUGACUAAUAUAUAUAUAUAUAUAGAGAGAGAGAGAGAGAGAGAGAGAGAGAGAGAGUGAGUCCGGCUAUGGUGCUUGUAAAAGCACCAAUCAUUUUGUGGUUGUAGGUUUUUAACUGUUAGAUCAGCACUGUUAAUCAUUUACACCCGUUAGAUUAUACUAUUUAACCAACCACCCACUCAACCCUAAGGGGUCCACAUCAUCAUAACCAUAUAUUUUUUAAUCUAAAGGCUAAAAACUUACAAGCACCAAUGNAUAUAUAUAUAUAUAUAUAUAUAUAUAUAUAUAUAUAUAUAUAUAUAUAUAUAUAUAUAUAUAUAUAUAUAUAUACACUUUCUAAGUUUAUGAUAAAUAUAUAGGCUAAAACUUGAGUACUAAUUACCAAGAAUUAGGCAAAAUUUCUGAUGAUUGUAUUUUGAUAGUCAUACACUAACAUUUUGAUUAUAAAAAAAUUUGACGCGUGUUCGAAAAAAAAAAUAAUAAUUACAAUAAAUUUAUUAUUGAUAACUUUUUAAAUCGAAAAAAUAAAUUGGGCCAAAGUGGCAUGUGAGUGUGAGAUUAUUGAUUUACAUUUAUUUCUUAAUUACUUCCAAUUUGAUGACGCGAUGGACCGAGGCUCCAUUCACCGAAUCACACAAUUGCACCUACUCGUUAAUUGCAUUUGACCCCCCAAAUAGAAAGUUUUUUUUUUUCCAAAAAAAAGGAAAAGGUGACACAGAGAAAUGCAUGCACCAACUAAAUUUAGAUUUAGAGUAGGGAUUGAAUGCAUCUCGUUCCCUUUUGAAUUCAAAUUAUUUCUUUUUGUGUAAAAAAAAGAAAAAGAAAAAGAAAAAGGGUCACAUAGAGAUAUGCAUGCACCAAUUAGAUUUAGAUUCAGAGUAGGGAUUGAAUGCAUCUUGUUCCCUUUUGAAUUCAAAUUAUUUCUUUAUUCACUCAUUUAUUUAUUUUUGAUAGAAAUAGCAACAUUUGAUCAAUGAUCAGUACAGUAUCCAAACGCUAAAAUUUUUUACAAAUCCCAUUAAGAGGUUUUGACCAACAGAGAAAAAAAAAAUAAAAGAAAAGCAAAAGUGAUUGAGAAGAUUUUUAAAAAUAAGUGCAUUUUGAUAUUAUUCCUUAUCUCGAACUUCUUUUUUGAAUUCCCGCGUGUGACAAAAAAAAAUUAGGACUAAAAUUUUAUUUUAUUUUUAUUUGGAAAUUUUAUGUUAGCGAUUUUUUAGACCUUUAGGAUUUUUCUAGGACAAAUAAAUCCCUAAAAAUCAGGAAUGUGAUUUUGAAAGUUCUAAAUUAAUAUUAGAGAUAUUUGUAUUAAAAAAAUCGCUAAAAUCUUGGGAUUUGAUUUAGAGUAUGAUUUGAAAUUUUAUUUUAUUGUAAAUAGGAUCCUAAACUUAUUGUAUAAAGAGAUUUUAGAAUUUAUUAAGUUUUUUCUUAAUUUCGCUCUCGAAAGAGAUUGGUUAAUCCUUUUUCCAUCAUUAUGCUUCUUCCCUCUCAAUGCCGUUUAGUUCUGCGUCACGCUCUCUUUUUCUUUUUCCCAACUAUUAAUUUUGUUUACCUAUAAUGGUUAGGUUUAUGCGUCACAGUCUCCUUUUCCUUUACCCAACUAUUAAUUUUGCUUACCCAUAAUGGUUUGGUUUAUGCUGGAGAAAAGAAAAGAAUAGAAUAACUUUGUUAAGAAGGAUAUCAAAAAUGGUUGUAAAAGAAACAAAAGUGUAUUACUUAAAAUGAAGAGUUUUCAACAAUUCUUAAUUAGCUUUUAUAUCAUCUUAUGCUGUAACACUAGAAGAAAAUUCCAUUAUAAGAAUAUUUUGUGGCGAUGUUUGGAAAAACAUUCCUCAAGUGUUCCCACUAUGUAACAAAUAAAUCAUCAAGAUGUUUUCAACUUUAUUUAUUGUAUCAUUGAUCGUCUCUAACGCAAAUGGUAAAAGGCUUGAUAGUUGGUACCUGAGGUCUCAAGUUCGAAUUCUAGUUGAUUUACAUUUUCGGCUAAAUUCAUUUUUAAAUAAGGACCUGUUUGGAUGCACAGUAAAAAAUCUCUACAAAAUUUAUAAACUGCAGUUUUGGUCUAGAUAAAAUAGAGAAUCUUGCAACUCUAAAAAAUUCCACGGAUUCAAUUUUUAAACUGUUUGGAUAUGUAUUAUGCAAUUUCACAGGAUUUUUCUAAAAUUUAAAAUUAAAAGUUAAAAUUUAAAAUUUAAAAUUUCAAAAAAAAUUUAAAAUAUAAAAUUUGAUAUGUGAAAUGUGAAAUUUUGAAUUUUAAAUUUUUAAAUUUGAAAUUUAAAAAUUUUAAAUUUUUAAAUUUGAAAUUUAAAAAUUUAAAAUUUAAAAUAUAAAAAUCUAAAUUUAAUUUUUAAAAUUUUAAAUUUAAAAUUUUAAAAUAAAAAAUUUUAAUUUUUAAUUUUUAAAUUUGAAAUUUAGAAUUUUAAAUUUUAAAAAUAAAUUUAAAAUUUAAAGUUUAAAAAAUAAAUUUAAAAUUUAAAGUUUAAAAUUUGAAAUUUGAACUAUGAGAUUUGAGAUUUGAAAUUUAAAAUUAAAAUUUGAAAUUUAAAAUCUAUGUUGAAAUUUAAAAUUUUAAAAUAAAAAAUUUGAAAUUUAAAAUUUAAAAUUUGAAAUUUAAAAUUUAAAGUUUAAAAAAUAAAUUUAAAAUUUAAAGUUUAAAAUUUGAAAUUUGAACUAUGAGAUUUGAAAUUUGAAAUUUAAAAUUUAAAAUUUAAAAUUUGACAUUUGAAAUUUAAAUUUUAAUUUUAAAAUUUAAACUUUGAAAUUUAAAAUUAAAAUUUGAAAUUUAAAAUCUAUGUUGAAAUUUAAAAUCUAUAUUGAAAUUUUAAAUUUUAUGUUGAAAUUUAAAAGUUGUAAUUAACUUGAUGUAUUUUUUUGAAUAAGGGAGUUCAAAAAUGGUGAAAUUUUUUACUCCAUAUUUUGGAGUAUAGUUUAACAAUAUACUCCAAAAAUUACAUUACUUUUUUUCCUCCCAAACGCUUCAUAGGAUAUUUUUCCUACCGCCGUAGCAUAGUUUAACUAUGCUACGUUUUCAAGAGUAUCCAAACGGGACCUAAAUGAAAUAAACGAAGCGAGUAACAUAUUUACCUAUCUCUCUCUCGCUCUCAAAAAAAAAAAAGAAAAAAAGAGCAUGGAAUAGGUGUUGGUACAUAUAUGACGGUUUUUUUUUUACUAAGGGACGUUUUUUGUUAUGGUGGUAGACUAAUUUGAAAAGCUUUUAAGCACCAUUAAUUGCUGGAAAAAAAAAAAAAAACAUCUUUAAAUUUUAAUUUUCUUGUAGGGUGGUAAGUGUAGAAUCUGUGAAUAAUAAAAAUGUUUUAUUUAGUUAUUGGGCAACUACUGCUUUGACCGAAUCUGAUGUUAUUAUAUCCGUUCUAUGAUUAAUAAACACUAGUUUAUUUAUAGUUUAUUAUUCUGUAAUAUUGGAGCAUAUAUUGCUAUAUUAAAGCUUCAACAAGUAUAUAUAAAAAUAAAAGGGCGAAGCAAACGCUUUACAUUAUAUGAUUUUAGGGUCAAGCCAUAUCAAAGAGCCUCUUUGUGGAGAAAUUAUUACAUGCACUAUUGCGCACCACACACCACCUCGAUCCCCUAAAUCAUCUAGGGUGGAAAAUCAUAAUUUAAAUGAAAUUCAACUUAUAAAUUUAAAAUUUCAUUCGCUUCAAAUAAAUUUUGACAUAUGCAAUUUUACGUUCAUAAUUAAUUUAGCUAUUAUAAACCAUAUCUAAGAGAUUCCAUCGGUACUUUAAUGUUAUCCUUUUUUAACUCGUGGACCUUGUUUUAUUCCUCCCUCCACCUAGUAGUUUAUACAAUAGAGGGGAUUUGCAUUAUAUAUAGUAUCCAUUUAGUGCUUCAUUGUGCACAACCUCCCCAUUUCUCCUCGCCUCUCUUGGAGCCAUGGAGAGUGUAGUACAACUAUGCUCUACCUUAGCCCUUCUCCUUUUCUUGUUCUUCUUAUUGAAGGCUACGUGGGUCACAGUCACCUGCUACUAUGUAACACCCAUGCGUAUUCGGAGAUUCAUGGCGAAGCAAGGGGUUUACGGCCCGAGGCCGCGGUUUCUCGUGGGCAAUCUCAAGGACGUCGCCGCCCUCGUCGCGAAGGCCACCGCCGCGGACAUGGAGAGCAUCAGCCACGACAUUGUCGGCCGCCUCAUGCCCCAUUACGCCCUCUGGUCCAAAAUCUACGGUAAGAGAGGGAGAGAGCGACUUACAGCAGGAUGAUUUUCUGUGCAGUUCAUUAAUGCGCGUAUAAAAGAAAAGAAAAACGGAAAUGAUACUAUAAAUUGAUUAUUGUAGGUAAGAGGUUUAUAUACUGGUACGGGAGCGAGCCGCGGCUGUGCCUGACGGAGACCGACACGAUCAAGGAGCUGCUGUCGUCGAGAUUCGUGCAGCUCACGGGGAAGUCGUGGCUGCAGCGGCAGGGGUCGAAGCACUUCAUCGGCCAGGGCCUGCUGAUGGCCAACGGCGCCAACUGGUUCCACCAGCGUCACGUCGUGGCCCCGGCCUUCAUGGCCGAUAAGCUCAAAGUACAUACAUACAUACAUACAUACAUAUACAUAUAUACACAUAUACAUAUACACGUACAUGUACACGUACACGUACAUGCGCAUUACAAACAAAGAAAGAAAAGGCGAAUGGAAGGUAGGUACCGCCGGAAUGACGUUUGAUAUUUUACCCCAUGGCAGGGCCAUGUUGGGUACAUGGUGGAGUGCACUAAGCAGGCGAUCAAGUCGCUCCGCGAAGCGAUGGAGUCGCGGGGCGACAGCGAGGUGGAGAUCGGGGGCUACCUGACCCGGCUGACGGGGGACAUCAUAGCGCGGACGGAGUUCGACAGCAGCUACGAGACCGGGAGGCAGAUCUUCCACCUCCUGGAGCGGCUGCAACGCCUCACCGCGCAGUCGAGCCGCUAUCUGUGGAUACCCGGCAGCCGGUGAGCCACAUAUUCGACUUCAGUUGUAUCCCUUUCAAUUCAUUUCCUUGUAAUUUAUUCUCCACAUCUCUGGCGUGCCCAACGCUGUCGGUCAGUUUCGGACACAGUUUGGAUUCCCACAACUGGCUCGGGAUUAUCUUAUAAAUUAAUUACAAUUUAGUUUAGUUUAAUUUAAUUAAAUAUCCAUUUGUUAUUGUUUUUUUUUUUAGAAAAAAAAAAUCUUAUUAGUAAUUUUAUAUUCGCCAGGUUCUUUCCGAGCAAGUACAAGAGAGAGAUUAGGAAGCUGAAAAGAGAGGUAGAGGGAUUGUUGAUGGGAAUAAUACAGAGCAGAAAAGAGUGGGCAGAGGUAGGGAGGACGUCAUCGUACGGGAAAGGGCUUCUGGGGAUGCUUCUCGCGGAGACGCAGAAGCAUAAGCAAAAGCAGAAGCAGGGCCAAAAUAAGGACCAGGACGGGUUGGGUUACAGUCUGCAGCUGGUGAUGGAUGAGUGUAAGACGUUCUUUUUCGCGGGCCACGAGACGUCCGCGCUGCUGCUGACGUGGACGGUGAUGCUGCUCGCGACGAAUCCGAUGUGGCAGGAGAGGGCCCGCGCAGAGGUGGCGCAGGUCUGCGGCGGCGAUCCCCCCUCCGCCGACCAGCUCCCCAGGCUCAAUCUGGUAAUUAAAUUUAAUCUAAGUAAUUAAUUAGCAUUUUAAAUAUGUUUAAUAAGGGGUUAUAGUAAUAAAAUAACCUAAUUUAAGGAAACACAUUUAGUUUCAAAAAACUUUAACUCAAUUUAAAACGUACCCUCUCUCCUUUUCUUUUUAUCUAGCAUUCUCUGGGUACAGAGUAUUUUCUAUACACUUUUCACUUAAACACUUUUAUAUUUCAACUUUUACGAGUAUUCGCUUUCCUCCCAAAACCCGAAAUUGACCUAAUAUUUUAGAAAAAUAAGUAUUUUAAUCUUUCAUGCGUAAAGCAAGUUACUUAUUCUAUAUAUUUACACUUCAAACAAGCCUAAAAGAUGGUUUCCUAAAAAGUCAUAUUUUUUAUGAUUAUGAGAAAUUAAAGUAUAAUAUAUGCAAAGGUUGUACAGAGACUAAUUAAGAUGUUUAAGUAAAAAAGAUACAAAUUAAGUCGAAACUUCCAAAUACAGAAACUACCAGUACAUUUUAGCUACUCUAAACUUAUAGAUGCAAAGGAAAAAGCUUUGGAUUAGUAAUAAACAAAAGGAGAACUCUGCUGGAAUAAAGGUAAGAAUUUUUUUUUUUUUUUUGAGAGGAAUAAAGGUAAGAAUUUUAGUUGCCCAAUUUGGUAUAGAAUCCACUCUAUAUAUCAACUUAUAAAUCAAACUCCAGUUACACUUUUAUGGAAAUUAAUGUUGUUAAAGUUAAGCAUGUUGCAAUCACAUAUAUAACUCAUUAAACAACGCCUUUUAACAAAAGGAACUCAUUGCAAAUGAUGUAAAAGAAACUUGCAAAAAAUUUUUUUUUCUUAAUCUUAUAUUGGCUCUUCUUACUAAUUACGUGCCACGUAAGUGUUACUUGCUUAAGUGUAAUGUUAUUUUUAAUGAGUAACUCCAAUAGUCAAUCGGAAGCAAUCUCAAAGUGGUUAAAUAUUAGAGUCUAAUCACUGAGUGAUAAUAAAAUUGGACUACACCAAUAUGGAGAUAUUUAAUAUAUAUAUAUAUAUAUAUAUAGAGAGAGAGAGAGAGAGAGAGAGAGAGAGCAUAUUAGGGGCACCAAAGUGACUGAUGACUUUGAAUACACCAAUUCUCCAAAAAGAGUUGGCUAAAAGGAACCAUUAGUAAAAUGGACCCUCGUGCAACUUAAUAUAUUUAUCAUAUGGUACAAAUUAAUGAUCAAAUUAUUGACAUAGUGUGUAUCAAAAGUUAAUUUUGUAGAAUUAUAAUUGUACUUCUUGUACAAGAUCAACUAAACUAAUGUCCCCAUUUUCUUUUCUUUUUGCAGCUGCAUAUGAUAAUUAAUGAGUCAUUGAGGUUGUACCCUCCCGCGACGCUUCUACCUCGAAUGGCAUUCGAAGACAUAAAGCUCGGAGACCUCCACAUUCCCAAGGGCUUAUCUGUUUGGAUUCCGGUGCUCGCGAUACACCACGACGAGGAGAUUUGGGGGAAGGACGUGCACGAAUUCAACCCCGAGAGGUUCGCGGGGCGAUCGUUUGCCCUUACUCGCAACUUCUUGCCCUUUGCUUCUGGCCCGCGUAACUGCGUGGGCCAGGCCUACGCUAUGAUGGAAGCCAAGAUCAUUCUCGCAAUGCUUCUCUCUAACUUUAGCUUCACCAUAUCGAAGAACUAUCGGCACGCCCCGAUCAACGUCCUGACCCUCAAGCCGAAGUACGGGGUGCCGGUUUACUUGACACCUCUUAGGUCGUAGAUUCUUCGGGGAAAUUGGUUGUAAAACUCCAAUUUUCCAUGUUUUCAUUUUCUCUUUUUGUCUUGUUUUCUUUUUUUCGGAAUGAGCUUGAGAAGAAUGAGACUGUUUCGCGGAGAGGAGCGUUACAUAUAUAGCUCAAAAUAGAGUGGACAAAUCUUAUAGUACUCCUUAUAUCAAAAUGCAUGGAUUCUUCCACCUUUUAUCAACUGUGUAAUCCUUUUUCUAAAGCAUAAAUUAAUUUGUUCUAACACUAAAGUUUCAGUGUAGUUUCUCUUUGGUAUAUAUCCAAACAUUUCGAUCUCUCUACGCUUCCUUGUAAUUUUGUCCUUUCCAUUGAUUUCCUUGACUAACAAGUUGAACUUCUCAUAAGGGUGAUUGACCACAUGUAUACCUGAUCAAAUUUACUUAAACAACUUGAUCAAAAGGAUAUAAAUUUUUAACACAUUUGCAAAUUAAAAUAAAGAAAUAUUAGUUUGUAACAACCAAAAGGUUUGUGGACUCAAAAAGUUUAUACCACCUAAAAGGUUAGGAAGUAGUGCAAUGCACCUUUUUAUAGCACAUAGCCUUAGUUAUAAAGCAAAGAUAUAGAUAGAUAACAAAAGAUAUAGAUAACAAAAGGAGCAGUAGCAAAGUGCUUCUCCAGUGACAUUACUGCAACACAUUUACAGUUGUAAAGCAAGGUAAUAAAACAUUAAUCCAAGGGACCUUUUGAACCACACCACAAAUAAGACCACUCUAGAGUACGAAAACCAUGGGUGCGAAUUUAAUUUUUGCUUCUCGCGAAAAGCUUGAGCAUUCAGCUUAGGAGCUGUAAAGGUUUGCGCGCCCAUCGCUUUCGAAGAAGGCAUCGACCGCGAAAAGAAAAUUCGUUCGCAAUGUUCACGCGGAACCUUAGUUGUGCAACCAUGAUGAAAAAUAAGUUUAUAAAAAGAUUAAUAUAAUUAGAGGUGUACAUUAAGGCGCUAGAGACCGAGAUUAGUGUCGAUUUUAAUAACAUAAUCGAGGCAUUAAAAGCUUUGACAGGAACCCUAUCUCCAUUAGUUUGUUUAUGUAUAAAAAUUUAACACUUAGUAGACCACUAUAGAUGAAUUUAUUCUUCAACCCCACUCUAAUUAGCUUUUGCAUUAGCACGUGUAUUCGUCGAUUAUGAUAAAGCUACUAAGGUACUGGAUCCAAUUAGCUUUUCUCGUGGGGGAUUGGUGGACUUUGAAAGUGCUUAAGUGGUUGAGUAUUUUAUUAUUUAUCAUUAUGGUUGUUUUAUCGCACAAAGCUAAGUGUAGUUAGCGACAGAGAAGAGUGGAUAAGGCACACAAGUGUUCAGAAAACAUGAUUAAGUAAAUUAAGCCUCAGUUGAUAAUUGGUGUCAUUUAGCUAAGUAUUUUUCUUUAUCGUCAAGCACUCUACUGAUAUACGUCGAUCAGUUACAUAAAAUUUGUCUUAUUGCGAAAGAGAACAAUAAUACUGAACGAGAAAAAAGCCUGAAACUUUUUUAACUGUUUUAGAUGUGAUGUGACACCGACAAUUUAAUAUACUCCACUCGCGGUGAUGUAUCUCAAAUCUAGACACAGUAAUUACUACAGAGUACAACAAGGAAAUAUAACUUCUUUUUUUUUUUUUUUUGAAUGAAAUGACAAAAGUAUAACUCCACAUAUACAACCCUUUUAAGCCUUAUUUGAAAAUAUUUUUUCAACAACAGCUGCUUAAAUGAUUUAAAGUUCUAGAAAAUCCUAAAAACUUUAGAAUCCACUCAUUCAAUAAUCCAAAGCUAUGGCAAAAUGCUUUUUUGGACCAAAAAAGAUGCUUUUUUGACAUGAUGAUUUUUUUGACAAAAAAAAAAGUUUUACUACAAUUUUGUACCACGUUGAGGUCUAAAGUGCUUUGAUUGUUAUUACUAUUUUAGAGCUCUAAUGUUUUUUUUUUUUUUUUUUUUUGAGAGAGAGAUAGGCAGCACGCUACCCGCUUCGUUUAUUUCAUUCAGAAAUAAACUUAGCUGAAAAUGUAAAUCAACUAGGAUUCGAACUUGAGUCUCGGAUACCAACCACCAAAUCCUCUGCCACUUGCACGCUACCCGCUUCGUUUAUUUCAUUUUAGAGCUCUAAUGUUAGAGCAACUAUUUUGAGAAAAUUAGGGUUUACUCGGUCAAAAGUUAGAGAAAACUAGAGGUUCCUUCAGCUGUGAAAAAAAUUAAAGGAGCCUAUUUUCAUAUAAAACUCAUGAUCUAAUUAAGAGAAACAGGGUUAGAGUUUCCAAUUGGUGGAGUUUGAUUACAUUAGGUUUAGGUAUUUAGGAACUCUUAUUGUUUCAAGCCAAACGCUAAUUUUUAUUGUUUUUAUAGUCUUUAAAUUGUCUUUUUAUUGCUUCGAUUUUUUUUUUUUGAGAGAGAGAUCGUGCUAACUGCUUCGUUUAUUUCAUUUAGAAAUAAAUUUAUGUGAAAAUAUGAAUCAGCUCGGAUUCGAACUUGGGACUUCGAAUAUCAAUCACCAAAUCCGUUGCCACUUGCACCAGGGACGGUCGGUUGCUUUGAUUAUUGUUACAAGCUUUCUUCAAUUUGAAGCCAAAGAUGAAAUUUAAGUAAGUUUGUUUGUUAUUCGAGUAUCCUCGAGUACUGCAUGGGAUAACUUAAAAGCUAAAAAAGUUGUCGUCCCGGGGGAUGCGCCCCAAAGCCAAGCACAGUUGUGAUGAAUGAUUGAAUGGUAAAUGCUUUGGGUCCUUUGUAAAGAGUUGCUUUCAUAUUGACGUAUCUAUACAGCAUGCUAAAUUAUAAAGUACGAACAUUUUUAAGUGCAUCUACAAUUUAUAAAAGUGAUACUCUGAAGAGAGACCUGUAACACAUACUCCCAUAAAUAUCUUCAGCACACGCAUCAAUUAAUAUCGUAGAACUUCAAUUGUUGAACACUCGCUGUUCUUAUUUGCUUUCGAAUAUAACAGUCCUCUCUCUCUCUCUCUCUCUCUCUCUCUCUCUCUCUCUCUCUCUCCCUGCAGUUAGAUUUAUUUUUUAAUUAUUUUCACCCGUUUGAUCAUAUUAUUUAACCAACAACCCAUUCAAUCCGGAGGACCACUAUUAUCCUAACCGCACAUUUAUUUAUCCAACGGUUGAAAACUUAUAAGUACAAAUGAUCGAGUUUAUAUUCAUAAGAAUAUAAUAUUCCUAGCCUGCAUAUAUAUAUAUAUAUAUAGUGUAAAAAAAAAUCACAUAAAAUUGUGUAUAUAUAUAUAUCAACUUGGAGAAGUAGUGUACUCAAAAUAUUACAAGCAUCUUUUUACGUGGGAACCUAAAGCAUUCAUCAAAGCAAAAUCGUGGACAUGCAAUAACUGGAACCAAGGAAAGAUACUAAGAAACACUUGUGCUGUGUCAUAACCCGGACAAGAUAGAAAGUAAGUUGGAAGCAUAGGUUCGCCAUGUCUCGCCCUGCUUAAUUUGCGCCAGCUAGCUUGAGAGCGAAAGGCUCUCGAUCUCUCUCUCUCUCUCUUUCUCUCCCUCCUCCUCCUCUUUUCCCGUACAUUUUAAGGUACAUAUUGCGCAAAUUAAUUGUACCUCGUUUCAUCAGUGGAGGAGACCAACGAGUUCCAUGCGUAUAUAGUAGCCCACUUAGAUAUAUAAAUUCACCAUCAUCAUGCAUGAUCAGUUGAUUGAUUGGUUUUGCGUCAAUAUGAUGGUUCUUUGGACCAAACUCUAGAUUUAAUUAAUUAAUCCGUGAAUUAAUUGUAAAUGUUAAUUCUAUUCUUGUUUUUAAGGUGUACUUAAUUAUAUGCACAUAUCAGAAGAUUCACUCAGAUUUUGUUGAUUAGUCCAGCAGACAAGGUUUAAAGUGGCACGGUACAGGAGGAUCUCGGACCCCCCUCUGUGCCACGGCAUGCAGCGCCGUGCCGGACGAGACAGAGCGGCACGGCGUAGCGUCCCACGGCACAAUAUUGUAUCGGCACUAUGCUAUUUUUUUUAUUUUUUUAUUUUUUUUAUUUUUUUUUUGUUUUGUUCUUUGAUAUAUCCAAAAUAUUUUGAGUACUUUACACAUUUUCAAAAACAUUGCAAAUCGAAAAUUUAUUUAUUAGGUAAGUUAAAAAAUUAUGAUUUAAUUUUUUUUGCUUAUCAAUAUAUGGAUAAAAGAUUUGUUCGAACUCUCCGCUUCUACCAGAGAUAUCUAUUUUUUCGCAAAGCGAAAUUUUUGACGAAUUAACAGAACAAAAUCAAACUCAAUAAAUAAAUUUUGAGUCACACCAAAUAUGAAAUUUUAUUUUUGCGCUAAAAGAGUGAAAAUAGUGAUAAAAUUAAAAGCUAAAUUAAAUCAAUUAAUACUUAAAUUUAUUUAAUUUAUUUGUCAUAUAAUUUAUUGCUUAAUUUUUUUUAUAGAUCUACUAUUUUUUAAAAAAUAAUUAAUUAAAAAUAAUUUUUUAAAUAAUUUUUUAAAUUUUAUUUUAUAAAGAAAAGACCGUAAUAUGGUCAAAAGAAAAAGAAAAAAAAAUAAAAUGUCUUUACAUUUUUAAAAUUUUAACAUAUAAAAAUUUCUAUUCUGUAUAAGAUAUAAUUGUAUUUUACAUAUAGAAAAGCUUACAAAUAUAUUGAUUGAUAAGUAUAAUAAGGAGUCCGGCUGCUAUGCUAUCGAUAGCACCAAGCACUUGGUGCUAUCAAGUUUUCUGCCGUUAGAUUAAUCCCUUUGAUUAUUUUUACCCGUUAGAUUAUACUAUUCAACCAACUACCCACUCAACUCUAGGGGACCCACAUCAUCCUAACCGUAUAUUUCUCAAUCCAAGGGCUAAAAAUUCAAUAGCACCAAUAACUUGAUACUAUUGAUAGUAUUUCAGCCUAGUUCGUAUAAUAAGUUAUAUAUGUAGUAAAUAUUCAUAAUUAUUUAAUUAAAUUUUUUAAAAUAAUAUUAUAAGAGUUUAUUGAAAUCAAAAAAACUGAAAUAAGUCUGUGCCAAAGCGUGCCGGUACGCAAGCAUACCAUGUGUCGGCACGAAAGCGUGCCGGUACAGUACCGUACCAGGCAAAUAGCGGCACGCCCCACUGCCACCGCAUUUUAAACUUUACGAGCAGAUACCGCUGUGUCGUCUGU